RNAcentral lists this ribosomal RNA (226 nucleotides) under uncultured bacterium. RNAcentral describes it as "partial 16S ribosomal RNA". It matches the Rfam family "Bacterial small subunit ribosomal RNA", at positions 124 to 334 of the family's 1533-position model. The record is from RNAcentral.
CCUAGCCCUUCAGAGGGGGACAACAGUUGGAAACGACUGCUAAUACCGCAUACGAUCCAAUCUCGGCAUCGAGGAUGGAUGAAAGGUGGCCUCUAUUUAUAAGCUAUCACUGAAGGAGGGGAUUGCGUCUGAUUAGCUAGUUGGGGGGGUAACGGCCCACCAAGGCGAUGAUCAGUAGCCGGUCUGAGAGGAUGAACGGCCACAUUGGGACUGAGACACGGCCCAG